Molecule: long non-coding RNA, 829 nt
Filed under: Rattus norvegicus (Norway rat)
Lineage: Eukaryota; Metazoa; Chordata; Mammalia; Rodentia; Muridae
Description: long non-coding RNA NONRATT032481
Source: RNAcentral
UAUAACACCACAUACACAGACAUGGAGACAGAAAGAGGAACAAUUAAAAAUUCAUAAGAAACUCUUUAAAAUAUCUGCUUGAUCAGGGUUCUGGUGGACCUGGGACUGAUUAGUCCCUGAUCUGGAUUACUUCUGAAGACAUGAGAAAGGUUGUGGAAGAAGAGAGCACACAGCUAGAGGGCUAGGCAUGUAUUUGUGAACACAACUCAAUGUCCUGAAUGUGCCUCUCUCCCAGGAGCACAGGGACUACUCUGCUGGGCAGGAGAACAAAUGAACUGAUGUUCCCAGGACUUCAAAAUUUGCCAUUCAGGGCACAUUCCCCUGGGAUUCAGGGUAUCCUCUAGCAGGAGCCACAACAUCAUCUGCUCACAGAAGGCAGUGUAGAAACGCAGCAUGCCUACAUGCUUCCUUCACGAUACCUCCUGUCAACUGUGUUGAACCAGUGCUGACAAGUCUCAUCACCCAAAGUCCACAGGUCAUGUCAAGGCUCACUUUUGGUGCUCUAAGUAAGUUGUUAUCAUUUUCUUUAUCUAAAAACUUUGAGAUAUUAAAAAAAUAGAGACAAAUUAAAAGUACUACAAUCCUGUACCCAAAUUUAAAUACCAUAAUAUUGAGUUUGCCAGUAUCUCUCAUCUUUUUGUGUAUGUGUGUGUACACGUAAGUGUUCUCUUGUUUUGACAGUGGAAUUUUAUAAAGCUAAUAAUGUGUUUCAGAUCUCUAAAGGGCUACCAGUUUUGCUCCUUCAAAGGCAAAUAUCAUCAUUACCAUCUUGUUUAUGCAGUUAUUUCUAGGGGCGACUGCUUCCCAGCAGACUUCCUGUAUCCUGGAC